RNAcentral lists this transfer RNA (72 nucleotides) under Ctenophorus vadnappa. RNAcentral's name for it is "tRNA-Asn". Lineage: Eukaryota; Metazoa; Chordata; Lepidosauria; Squamata; Agamidae. The record is from RNAcentral.
AGGGACCAGAGGGCUUCGAUCCCACAUCCUACUAGUUAACAGCUAGCACGCUCAACCAAUGACACUGAUCCC